Molecule: ribosomal RNA, 456 nt
Filed under: uncultured bacterium
Lineage: Bacteria
Description: bacterial SSU rRNA
Rfam family: Bacterial small subunit ribosomal RNA
Source: RNAcentral
GAGAUAACUCCUACGGGAGGCAGCAGUGGGGAAUCUUGCGCAAUGGGCGAAAGCCUGACGCAGCCAUGCCGCGUGAAUGAUGAAGGUCUUAGGAUUGUAAAAUUCUUUCACCGGGGACGAUAAUGACGGUACCCGGAGAAGAAGCCCCGGCUAACUUCGUGCCAGCAGCCGCGGUAAUACGAAGGGGGCUAGCGUUGCUCGGAAUUACUGGGCGUAAAGGGAGCGUAGGCGGACAUUUAAGUCAGGGGUGAAAUCCCGGGGCUCAACCUCGGAAUUGCCUUUGAUACUGGGUGUCUUGAGUAUGAGAGAGGUGUGUGGAACUCCGAGUGUAGAGGUGAAAUUCGUAGAUAUUCGGAAGAACACCAGUGGCGAAGGCGACACACUGGCUCAUUACUGACGCUGAGGCUCGAAAGCGUGGGGAGCAAACAGGAUUAGAAACCCUUGUAGUCCUCCACU